GUGGGGAAUUUUGGACAAUGGGCGCAAGCCUGAUCCAGCAAUGCCGCGUGCAGGAAGAAGGCCUUCGGGUUGUAAACUGCUUUUGUACGGAACGAAAAGGCUCUGGUUAAUACCUGGGGCUCAUGACGGUACCGUAAGAAUAAGCACCGGCUAACUACGUGCCAGCAGCCGCGGUAAUACGUAGGGUGCAAGCGUUAAUCGGAAUUCCUGGGCGUAAAGCGUGCGCAGGCGGUUUUGUAAGACAGACGUGAAAUCCCCGGGCGCAACCUGGGAAUGGCGUUUGUGACUGCAAAGCUGGAGUGCGGCAGAGGGGGAUGGAAUUCCGCGUGUAGCAGUGAAAUGCGUAGAUAUGCGGAGGAACACCGAUGGCGAAGGCAAUCCCCUGGGCCUGCACUGACGCUCAUGCACGAAAGCGUGGGGAGCAAACAGGAUUAGAUACCCUUGUAGUCC
Molecule: ribosomal RNA, 450 nt
Filed under: uncultured bacterium
Lineage: Bacteria
Description: partial 16S ribosomal RNA
Rfam family: Bacterial small subunit ribosomal RNA
Source: RNAcentral